UUGCACAAUGUACAUUUCCACUGGAAAAUAUAUGGUCAUAGGCCAAAAGUUCAAUGCUCCCAAGAUUCCUAAUACCUGGUUGAAAUAUGGAAAUGCCAUUGCUAUUGCUGUUGUAGAUAUAACAUAUAGAGUUCGAAAACAUAACCGGAAGAGGUUCAACUGGAGAGCUGGCAACACUGGGAGUUUGAUGGCGUAGAAAUUAUUUAUGAAUCUGUUCUGAGGGUACUUCUGAGUUGCCCAUUUUUCAACAAAUGCGAAUACUGGCUGGCUGUAUACCUGAUACCCUCCAACCAGAUGGAGGACUAUGCAGGCAUUGGCAAAAUCAACAAGCCAAAACGGCUCGUAGAAACCUGUCAAGAGGUUCCCUGGUGUGUCGUUCCCAAAGGCUGCAUAUCCGAAGCAACUACAGCAUAGAUAGAAGAAAGUGGUGAUAACUAUCG
This 440-nucleotide unclassified non-coding RNA is filed under the name Hevea brasiliensis (rubber tree). Lineage: Eukaryota; Viridiplantae; Streptophyta; Magnoliopsida; Malpighiales; Euphorbiaceae. The record is from RNAcentral.